AGCCUUCCCGAAAAACUCGUAAGAGGCCUCGAUCACCAUUGCCAGUUAUUGAAGGAGCAACACCUGUAUCUUUACCGUCUUCUGGUGGUUUUAAUGGGCUUGGUAUCGAAUCAAUUAUAAAGGAACCUAGUAAAGUUAUGUGGCGACAGCAAUCUAUGCAAUUGCACAUAAACAAUGUUGCUUUU
Long non-coding RNA from Drosophila willistoni, 185 nucleotides. RefSeq lists it as uncharacterized. NCBI's taxonomy places the organism in Eukaryota, Metazoa, Arthropoda, Insecta, Diptera, Drosophilidae. The transcript is spliced from 2 exons. The record is from RefSeq and is a predicted model, not a curated record.